UGGUAACCUGCCUUGUANCGGGGGAGUAACUAUUGGAAACGAUAGCUAAUACCGCAUAACAAUGGAUGACACAUGUCAUUUAUUUGAAAGGGGCAAUUGCUCCACUACAAGAUGGACCUGCGUUGUAUUAGCUAGUAGGUGAGGUAAUGGCUCACCUAGGCGACGAUACAUAGCCGACCUGAGAGGGUGAUCGGCCACACUGGGACUGAGACACGGCCCAGACUCCUACGGGAGGCCAGCAUG
RNAcentral lists this ribosomal RNA (243 nucleotides) under uncultured bacterium. Its description in RNAcentral is "partial 16S ribosomal RNA". It matches the Rfam family "Bacterial small subunit ribosomal RNA", at positions 119 to 349 of the family's 1533-position model. The record is from RNAcentral.